RNAcentral lists this ribosomal RNA (195 nucleotides) under Triticum aestivum (bread wheat). RNAcentral's name for it is "partial small subunit ribosomal RNA". Lineage: Eukaryota; Viridiplantae; Streptophyta; Magnoliopsida; Poales; Poaceae. The record is from RNAcentral.
CCAAAGGGUGAGGGUGGAAUGGGCUUUCGUGACCUGAGGUUAUUUAAUCAAGCUCUUCUGGCAAAACAAGCUUGGCGUUUACUGGUUAACCCGGACUCAUUAUGUGCUAAGGUAAUGAAGGCAAAGUAUUAUCCUCAGGGGCAUCUUCUUGACACGGUUUUUCCUCAGUCAACCUCAGUGACUGGGCAAGGUAUG